This 484-nucleotide ribosomal RNA is filed under the name uncultured bacterium. Its description in RNAcentral is "partial 16S ribosomal RNA". It matches the Rfam family "Bacterial small subunit ribosomal RNA", at positions 30 to 507 of the family's 1533-position model. The record is from RNAcentral.
AUUGAACGCUGGCGGCAGGCCUAACACAUGCAAGUCGAGCGGAUGAAGGGAGCUUGCUCCUGGAUUCAGCGGCGGACGGGUGAGUAAUGCCUAGGAAUCUGCCUGGUAGUGGGGGAUAACGUCCGGAAACGGGCGCUAAUACCGCAUACGUCCUGAGGGAGAAAGUGGGGGAUCUUCGGACCUCACGCUAUCAGAUGAGCCUAGGUCGGAUUAGCUAGUUGGUGGGGUAAAGGCCUACCAAGGCGACGAUCCGUAACUGGUCUGAGAGGAUGAUCAGUCACACUGGAACUGAGACAGGGUCCAGACUCCUACGGGAGGCAGCAGUGGGGAAUAUUGGACAAUGGGCGAAAGCCUGAUCCAGCCAUGCCGCGUGUGUGAAGAAGGUCUUCGGAUUGUAAAGCACUUUAAGUUGGGAGGAAGGGCAGUAAGUUAAUACCUUGCUGUUUUGACGUUACCAACAGAAUAAGCACCGGCUAACUUCGUG